AUGUCCUGUCAUAUUCCAGGGAGUAAGGAGGAGAUGGCUGAGCUCAUCAAACUCCGGGGUGAAAACGAACACCUGUUCACUGGUGCCAGGAACUCAGCCGCUGCGGGUUGGAGGGCAAUCCUGGAGCAGAUGGGCCUGGCGGGCCAAAUCACCCCGUUGCAGGCGGAAAAAAAAUGGGACAAUCUAAAGAAAAAAUACAAAGAUUGCAAGUAUCCCGCAUCAGGUGAGGGGGUGAGUGGGAAGACCACUGCUGCCACUUGGCCCUGGUUUGUCCCAAUGGAUGAGGUCCUUCAAAUGGAUGAGGAUGUGGAACGGCGGGAGAAUGAGGCCCAGCUGGAGGCACGGCCAGAAAAGAGGAAGAGGGACAGGGAGGAUGAAGUCCUGGAAUUGAUAAAAAAGGACAUGAGGCUACAGAGGGAGAUUGAAGAAAGACGUGCCGAGCGAAUGGACAGGAUCAUAUGUCUACUGGAGAAGGUUGUGGAAAAACAAAAUGAGUAAGGUAGUGUGAAUAGGACCUAUUGUACAAACACUUACAGUUGUCAUAUUUAUGUUUGUGCAGGAUAUGUGAAAUGUGGACGAAAUAAUUUAAGUUCUGUUAAUACAAGUUGCACUUUUUAUUUGAAUUGUUGAACAAAUGUGAAAAAUGAACAGAAUGUACAAAGUCCUGUGAAUAAAAAAAUUUGUUA
RNAcentral lists this long non-coding RNA (686 nucleotides) under Oreochromis niloticus (Nile tilapia). RNAcentral's name for it is "lncRNA (ENSONIG00000029086.1)". Lineage: Eukaryota; Metazoa; Chordata; Actinopteri; Cichliformes; Cichlidae. The record is from RNAcentral.